RNAcentral lists this ribosomal RNA (233 nucleotides) under uncultured bacterium. Its description in RNAcentral is "partial 16S ribosomal RNA". It matches the Rfam family "Bacterial small subunit ribosomal RNA", at positions 103 to 334 of the family's 1533-position model. The record is from RNAcentral.
CGGGUGAGUAACACGUAUCCAACCUGCCGUCUACUCUUGGCCAGCCUUCUGAAAGGAAGAUUAAUCCAGGAUGGCAUCAUGAGUUCACAUGUCCGCAUGAUUAAAGGUAUUUUCCGGUAGACGAUGGGGAUGCGUUCCAUUAGAUAGUAGGCGGGGUAACGGCCCACCUAGUCAACGAUGGAUAGGGGUUCUGAGAGGAAGGUCCCCCACACUGGAACUGAGACACGGUCCAG